RNAcentral lists this long non-coding RNA (431 nucleotides) under Salvia miltiorrhiza (redroot sage). RNAcentral's name for it is "long non-coding RNA (SMIL_LNC012513)". The record is from RNAcentral. Lineage: Eukaryota; Viridiplantae; Streptophyta; Magnoliopsida; Lamiales; Lamiaceae.
UAAAAUUGUGUCCUCUCCCAAAGAGGAUUACAUGGAGUAUAUAUAGGAAUUACAAGGGCAAAUGGUACAAUGGUCUUCUCACAUUUCUCACGUACUCUGCAUGUACUAACAUUGGCGGCGGUCACUAUCUAAAAAGUAACUCAAUCCUAACUAACUUGCAGCUUUAUGAUCAAAGUGUCGCAGGUUGAUGCUGCGCCGGUCGGAACCUCGAAUGUCUGCGCAGGCAUCCUCAGCCUUUUGUUUUAUCCAACCAUCUCUGGUGAUCUUGAAAGGUAGCUCGCCUCUUUAGCUGUCUCUCAAUAUGACUGCACUGAUGACACUGGCUGCGCAGACUUCGCUCGCCUCUCCAGUGGUCCUUCAAUGUGGCUGCGCUGGUGAUCCUAGCUGUGCGGACUCGUUUCUUCCAAUACUGGUCUCUAAGGUUAGCUUGU